Molecule: ribosomal RNA, 510 nt
Filed under: uncultured bacterium
Lineage: Bacteria
Description: bacterial SSU rRNA
Rfam family: Bacterial small subunit ribosomal RNA
Source: RNAcentral
GAUCCUGGCUUAGGAUGAACGCUAGCGGCAGGCUUAACACAUGCAAGUCGAGGGGCAGCGGGAUGUAGCAAUACAUUGCCGGCGACCGGCGGAUGGGUGCGUAACGCGUAUGCAACCUACCCUAUACAGGGGAAUAACCUUUCGAAAGGGAGACUAACACCCCAUAGUAUUGAUUUAAGGCAUCUUAGAUUAAUUAAAUAUUUAUAGGUAUAAGAUGGGCAUGCGUAUGAUUAGCUAGUUGGUAAGGUAACGGCUUACCAAGGCGACGAUCAUUAGGGGUUCUGAGAGGAAGGUCCCCCACACUGGUACUGAGACACGGACCAGACUCCUACGGGAGGCAGCAGUGAGGAAUAUUGGUCAAUGGGCGCAAGCCUGAACCAGCCAUGCCGCGUGCAGGAAGACGGCCUUAUGGGUUGUAAACUGCUUUUACAUAAGACUAACCGUAUAUUUGCGAAUAUACCUGAAUGUAUUAUGAGAAUAAGGAUCGGCUAACUCCGUGCCAGCCGCCGC